Molecule: long non-coding RNA, 1013 nt
Filed under: Linum usitatissimum (flax)
Lineage: Eukaryota; Viridiplantae; Streptophyta; Magnoliopsida; Malpighiales; Linaceae
Description: long non-coding RNA (LUSI_LNC004879)
Source: RNAcentral
AAGUCUCAAGCGUCACAUGCUCGGCCUAGAGUAACCAUAUACUUGUUCUUAAGGCCACUAUAUUUUACAAAACCAUAUCUCACAUUAUACUAGUACGCAACCACUCAUAGCAUAUGCACAUGAUGAGAGUAUGAGUCUCAACAAAGUUUAAAACACAAAAAGAGGAUCAAGACACAAUCUUCGAUAUCUAAUGGCGUCGUCACCACGAUGGCCGACCCCGGAACUCGAUGAUACCAUUUUGUAGAUUUGCAGUGUAUGAACCAAUAAAGCCUACUGUCGCUCUGAAAUGAAAAGUAAGGGUCAGUGCUAAUCACUAGGUGAUGAUCUUUGUCUUGGCCCACUCUCAGGUACACAUAAUUAAAUAGAAAGUAUAUGGAAUUUAACACAUAAGGCUAAUUCUAUAAUCUAAUUCAUAUCCAUAUUUUAUUUGGGAUCUCGGCUCACAUAUGCUGACGACCCAUAUACAUGUCAGUGGCACCAAAUCGGGCUGCAUAUAGUGGCGCCUACCAAGGCCCACGAUGAUAGUUAGUGUGGCGCUUACCAAAGCCCACAAAAAUAGCUAGUUGUGGCGCUUACCAAGGCCCACCACGUAAUAGAAACGCAAUAAGCACAAUCGCCACAAUACGGACCCUAACUAGGUGAUCAAUAAAUUACCGGAUUUAUUCAAUAAUCAGUAAUAGCUACAGCUCAUAUUAACACAUAUAAUAAAUCAGAUAUAUCAGCAAAGUAACAGAACAUAUAUUAAGUCAUAAUAUGAUAAAGAAGCAUAUAUAAUCUUAAGAUUAAACAGCUAUUAUCCUAUCAUAUCAUGCAUAUGGCCUUUAAUAAUAAUAAACUCAUAAUGAAACGUCUAACCCAUUCAAAUACGCAGGAGACCCACACCAAAAAUAAUCUUCAACAACUCCGAUACCAGCUUCCAAGUCGAGAUGGAAUUCCAAGAAACUUCCGUAUAAAAAACUAGGUGUAACUGCUACCUUUCCCGAAUCGUUUGUACGUAGGACACUGUAGUGUUU